AGUCCAAAGAUUUAUCGCCAGAGGAUGAGCCCGCGUUGGAUUAGGUAGUUGGUGGGGUAAAGGCCUACCAAGCCGACGAUCCAUAGCUGGUUUGAGAGGAUGAUCAGCCACACUGGGAAUGAGACCCGGCCCCGACUCCUUCGGGAGGCAGCAGUGGGGAAUAUUGGACAAUGGGGGCCAGCCUGAUCCAGCAACGCCGCGUGAGUGAUGAAGGCCCUAGGGUUGUAAAGCUUUUUUUCCCGGGAAGAUAAUGUCUUUAAAGGGGGAAUAAGCCCCGGCUAACUCCGUGCCAGCCGCCU
RNAcentral lists this ribosomal RNA (299 nucleotides) under uncultured bacterium. Its description in RNAcentral is "partial 16S ribosomal RNA". It matches the Rfam family "Bacterial small subunit ribosomal RNA", at positions 198 to 517 of the family's 1533-position model. The record is from RNAcentral.